AGGAAGGUAGUGUAGUUAACACCUGCAUUAUUUGACGUUACCUACAGAAGAAGCACCGGCUAACUCCGUGCCAGCAGCCGCGGUAAUACGGAGGGUGCGAGCGUUAAUCGGAAUUACUGGGCGUAAAGCGCAUGCAGGCGGCCUGUUAAGUCAGAUGUGAAAGACCCGGGGCGUUAACCUCGGAAUUGCAUUUGAAACUGGCAGGCUAGAGUCUUGUAGAGGGGGGUAGGAAUUUCAGGUGUAGCGGUGAAAUGCGUAGAGAUCUGAAGGAAUACCAGUGGCGAAGGCGGCCCCCUGGACAAAGACUGACGCUCAGAUGCGAAAGCGUGGGGAGCAAACAGGAUUAGAUACCCUGGUAG
This 359-nucleotide ribosomal RNA is filed under the name uncultured bacterium. RNAcentral's name for it is "bacterial SSU rRNA". It matches the Rfam family "Bacterial small subunit ribosomal RNA", at positions 441 to 793 of the family's 1533-position model. The record is from RNAcentral.